GCCAGCAGCCAGGGUGCUCCGAACCAGUGGGACCCCUCCCGCUCUCGCUUCCGCUUCCUCCCACUCCUGUGCGCCCCCGGAUGCUCUGGGCGGAGGAGCUGAGAGCCGCGGAGUGCGCCGCCCGAGGCACGUAACCCCUUUUCCUAGCCACCUCCUCCUUGGCCGCCCCCCAGCGCCGGGGGCGUGGCCCAAAGGCGCGGGACUUUCCGCCGGGAUCCCCCUGCGCUGGUGACGUUUGCUGGCCGUGCCGGUGCGUUUCCCGCGCGGUUGUGAGUGCUGGGGUGACUGAGAGGGGCUGCGGCCGGCUCUGCACCUGCCGCGCGACCCUGUCGGCGGGUCCCCCCGAGGCUGAGCACCGUCUUUCCAGAACCCACCCGGAUUCAGCCCUUUCCAGUGAGCUUUAAACGCCAGCCCGGUUCAUUCAUUCAUUCGUUUGAUACUAACCUAGCGUCCACACAAGUGCUGAGGAUACUGCGUGGCCAAAAGCACCGCCAAGACAUUGCCCUCAAGGACCCGGCAUUCCAGUGAGGAAAGAUGAACAGAUAAAGUGUUUAUCAUGUGAGUACGCGGGCUUCUCACUGUUGUGGCCUCUCCCGUUGCGGAGCACAGGCUCCGGAAGCGCAGGCUCAGUGGCCAUGGCUCACGGGCCCAGCCGCUCCACGGCAUGUGGGAUCUUCCCGGACCAGGGCACGAACCCGUGUCCCCUGCAUCGGCAGGCGGAGUCUCAACCACUGAGCCACCAGGGAAGCCCCUAGAUUGACACCUUUGAAGCUCGAGAUUUAAAUGUACAAUUAAUUAUUAGAAAAUAACAGAUCAUUAAAAAUAAUAAACCCCAUAAUGCUAAUACCUAUAUCAAAGAUAACCAACACUUAUCAUCUGCAUCACAAAUGUAUGAGGUACGCACAACUCAACCCCAUUUGACAGGGGAGGAAAUGAGCCUUCAAGUCUGCUGUCCAGGGCUUCGCUGGUGGCACAGUAGUUAAGAAUUCGCCUGCCAAUGCAGGGGACACGGGUUCGCGCCCUGGUCUGGGAAGAUCCCACACGCCACAAAGCAACUAAGCCCGUGCGCCACAACUACUGAGCCUGCGCUCUAGAGCCCACGAGCCACAACUACUGAAGCCCACGUGCUUAGAGACUGUGCUCCGCAACAAGAGGAGCCACCGCGAUAAGCCCGUGCACCACAACGAAGAGUAGACUCCGCUCGCCACAAGUAGAGAAAACCCACGCAGCAAUGAAGACCCAACGCAGCCAAAAGUCCAUCUCAAACCAGAUUUGCUGACGUAGCCUUCCAAGGUGUGUCUCUGCCCGGAGUUUUUCAUCUCUCCAGUUCUUUCAAGAUAUGGUGAGCAACCUUCUACAGUAGAUUAUAUUCAUAAUUUCAUUCCUCUGCUUAAAACUUUUUGUGGCUCUUCACAGCUCAUGGAUGGGGUGCUGUAUUUAGGAUUAUGGCCAGCUAUGAAUGACAGAAAGCCCCAAUAACGAUGGCUAAAACAAGACAGAAGUUUAUUUCUCUCAUAUGAAGUUCUAGAGAUAAGUAUUCCAGUUCUCACAUGUAGAGCCAGGAUGUCAGGGACUCGGGUUCCUUCUAUCUUGUUGCUCUACCAUGCUUGGCUUCCAUGUUUGAGCUUACCUCAUGGCCCAAGAGCAUGACUGCUCCGGUUCUAGUCAUUAUGUUCCUAUGUCUUAUUCUGUUCAGGCUGCUAUAACAAAAGUACCAUGUGGGCUUCCCUGGUGGUGCAGUGGUUGAGAGUCCACCUGCCGAUGCAGGGGACACGGGUUCGUGCCCCGGUCCGGGAAGAUCCCACAUGCCGCGGAGCGGCGAGGCCCGUGAGCCAUGGCCGCUGAGCCUGUGCGUCCGGAGCCUGUGCUCUGCGGCGGGAGAGGCUGCAGCAAGUGAGAGGCCCGCGUACCGCAAGAAAAAAUUAAAAAAUAAACAAAGAUUUAAUUAAAUUAUUAUCUUGUCCCAUAAUCUUCAAUGGGUCCCUAUUACUUACAUAUUAGGUCCAAACGCUUUUACUGAACACAGUAUUAAAAUCCUUCAUAAUACCAUUUCAACUUGUUCUCCCUCUUCUUCCCUACCCUACUUUAUCCCUUUCAACUGGCCAUUCUCUGAAUAUACCAUGACCUUUCCAUUCUCUAUGGUUUUUCCCAUGACAGACCUUCCACCAGAAUGAUCUCCUAAAAGCCCAGCACCAACUUUUGAAAUGCUGCACAGACAUCCAAACCUCUUCCAAAUUAUAUUUCUUUAUAAAGUCAUUUUUCACCACUUCUACUAAAAAUAACCUACCAGUUCUCUGAAUAGUUGCUGUUUUUAUGCUGCAUUCCUUUAUAAUAAAUUGUAAAAUGUUCAUAUUCGUAGCAACAAUUAUAUUGUAAAUUACAUAGUACCCACUACAUGUUCCUCACCUUUGUAGUACUGGGAACACCUAAUCUCUGAAUUUUUACCUAAGAGCUGCAUAAUACAUAUUCAUUAAAUGAGAUUGGUAUAUAAGCACUAAAUUUACAGAAAGAAGGAGAAAAACCUCAAGCAGCUCACUUUGGAUGAGGCACUCAUUCAAAUUGGAUUAAAGGCUUUAUCAACAAUCCAGUAUUAAUUCUGUCUAAGUCUAUAUGUGCUCAUUUGAAAUUGUUUUGAGUGAUUUGUGUUAAUAAUACAAAGCUGAAUAUGGAUUUGCAUCGGGAAGAACAACUAGUAAGAGCUAUUUUCAGCUCUAACAGGGAAGUGACAGUUUUUCAAUUUUUAGCAUAAGUGUUAUAACUUAUCUCAGUCAAACACUUGCUAGGUCAUUUAGUAGGUCACUUAUGUUACUUAACUUUCUAUUUUAAUCUCUCAGGCCUAUUCAGAAAUAGGAAGAAAAGAAAAUUAUAGUUUUGAGUGCUACUAAUUUUUUUGUGACAGAGAGUUGAAAUGAAAAUAGUUUCAACGUUGAAUUGUCUGUAUGUUAAAAUAGGACUACAAAUUCUAUUUCAUAUUAAUCAUUUGUCCAUGUUGGCCAUGUUGGCUCUUUAAUAGGUUAAGACAGGAAAAAUAUGGCUAUAUUUGUUAAAAUAAACAAACUCCAAAUUUAAGAUUAAUAAAUUAUUUGAAAAUAAACCCCACAUUGGCUUUAUAAGGACACCUCUUCCUAAGAAAUGGGAUUUCAUAUUAACCCUUUUGUAAUUUUAUGUUAUUUGUCCCUCUGUCUAUCCCACAUCUGACUUCUUUUUGUGGCCAUAGUUCUUGUUUCUGAUCUGAUUAAAACUAUUUCAUGCACUUGUAUUACCUUGGUUUUAAGGGAGGACUGGGACACCCGUCAGAGCUCAGGAUUACACAUCACUCCAGCAGAAUCCUAAGCUAGAAAAGAAGGCUUAGGUAAGUAUAUGGAUGGAAUGAAAAUAAACCAUAAGGCUAAUAUUUUUAGCUCUAAUUCUAUCCAAUGUUGAGUCAUUUUUUGAUACAAGGAAAGUCAGUUAUCUUUCUAGGGCAGGGGAAAACAAAAGAAAAGACAAAUCAUUCAGCCAGUGACUCAUGGAAUCAUCUAGGUACAAAACAAAGCAUUACAAAAACAACAAACCAGUAUCUUUUCGCAAAGGUUAGUUUUGAACACUAGAUACUCUAGGUUUUUGGUUCCUCUACUCACUUUGAAUAAAUAGUUGCCAUUUUGGAAUUUAAUUAAAAAAAAACAGAUUUUGACAGAGAGUUUAUCAUUAAAUGAAAGAAUUUGGGAGGGUGUGUCUGGGAGCUAGAGUGUUCCUUAAACUGACAGUAAUUAAAAUGUGUAUUUAGGGUGCCUCCUUGGUGACAUAGGGGCUCGAGUUUACGACACUGAAUUGGGGAGGAUGAAUGGAAUAAUGGGUGGAAUAAUGGGAGUAAAGCUUUGCACACCCAGCUGAAUGUUCUCGACAGGCUAGAGCUGUAACCAAGCUUCCCCAGGCUUCAUCAACCUGAAGCUGAGGAGGGGGCCUGGAGAAUUUCUGAGAGUUCCCAGAGGGUUCACACAUGUACUCACGCAUGUCCACACCUGUCACCUGCUGCCACAGUCCUGCAGAGUCACAGUGCUAUCUAUUGACAAGUCUUCCCAGCACAGUUGUCUACCAUCACACUGGAGGCAGUGAAGCCCUUAAGAUGACAAAGCUGUUGAUCUUCUGCUGUGAAGUGGGAAGUAGCUGCCCUGAUCCCCACCCCCAUUCACAUGCAAGACUUUGUUAGAUGAGUCCCUAAGUUGUGCUCCUUGUUUCCAGUAUAUUAGAGAUUUUAGUAAAAUACCCAUUUGUUUUUCCUUAUUGCCCCCAGUCUUUGCAGGUCUCCGACUUGGGCAGGCUCAUCAUGCCUGAUUCAUGUCCCAGGGCUUCUCAGCUCCAAGACAGAGAGGAAAGGACUUCCGAUAGGUCACCUCCCCAACUUCCACACAUUUAAACCAGUCAGAACAUCCACAGCCUAGCAGAGUGCUGACACGUGAAUGAAGAGCCCUAAAUGUUUGUCAGGGAGUAAAUGACCAAAUGAAUCUUAAUAACAACCACAAUUUGAAUCUUCUCCCACAAUGCUUUUUAAUCUACAUGCAAACAGGCUACUGGCAGACUUUGUCAACCCUUUUCCCCAGACAUCCUGGCUUGUCCAAAUUCCACUUAGAUUCAAGCUGCCUAUCAUUUAAUUUCAUUUUAUUUCCCAAAUAAAUCCAUGAACUAAGUAUUGAUAUCCCUAUUUUAUAAAGGAAACUAAUGUGCAGAAGUUUCAGGAUCUGCCCCCCCCCCCACCAGAUCACUUUUAUCACAUCCUUGUAUCCAUCCCCCAGCUGCUCUAGGCAUUGGCUGCUAUCAACUUUUGAAGAAGUGCUUUCUUCUCCGGGGAAUUGCCCCAUAUUGAAUAGGAGCCGCCUUGCCCUUGGUGCAGACCACAGCUAGUGACUAACACUGGGAUACUAAAUACUGAGCUCCCUGUCUCAAGAAGGGACCAACUCUGAGGUGCAAUUAAUGCUCCAGAGUUCCCACUGAAUCGAUGUCAUUAAGAAGUUCAGUGGUGACUCUCUUCUGUAGGCUGGAAUUGAUGAAAGAUUCUGUUAUAGAACUAGGAUCCCUAAUAGCCAUGGAGAUGAUAGGAUUCCCAGAAGAGAAGAAGCCAUAUGGUAGCCCUUUACCACCAAAAUCAACAUGGGUAUAAUGUUCUUAAUGGGCAGCAAGUUUGGAAUGGAGUGGAUAGGGGGCUGAUCUCUAGGAAUCUAUGGAGAUAUUUAAUAGAAGAAGGUGUUCUAAGGAGUGAGAUAGAUGUGCAUCCACCAAGGAUAUUGCUUAAUAUAUAUAAUCAAAAGAGACCAGGAAUAGAUGAGCAGAAGCCUAUGAUCAGCUGCCUCAAUGGAAAGUCAUGAUCCCUUGCCCAUUUUUCAAGCCUGAGCCAAUUUUCAAACCCACCAGAGAACGUCUCCAUUGUCUGAAAAAGAGGCUAGAUCCACAUGAAGAAGGACCCUGCAACACCGUGGCAAGUGUAUAUAGUACUCAUUCUCCCAGUUCUUCCCCAAAGGGUCUUAUGGCUGUGCACUAGGGUAGCCAUGCACUAGAGACAGGGGAAUACAUGGCUCUUUUAAGGACUAUUAGAUACAGAGUCUGAGUUGAUGUUAAUAUCCAGAGACCCAAAGCACCUUCUGACACCCUUGUUAGAGUAGGAGUAUGUGAGGGUCAAGGUAUUAAUAGAGACCUAGCCAGGCAUACAUGUCUACUCAUCCACAGAUCUACACAGAGAUCAUUUCCCCAGUGUUUGAAAGUAUAAUUGGAACACACAUUAGGAUUUUACAGAACCUUCAUAUUAGUUCCUUGACUUGUAGAAUAAGAGUUAUUGUACUAGGAAAGGCAAGUAGAAGUCCCUGAAACUACACCCCCUCACCUCUCAGCCAAGACUGUAAAUCAAAAACAAUAUUACAUCUCAGGAGUGGAGUGGCAGAGUUUAGUGUCACCCUCAAGAAUUCAAAGGAUGCAGGGGGGAUGGGUCUCAUUAUAUCCUCCAUUUAAUUCAUCAUUCUGGCCGAACUAAACCAGGUGAAUUGUCUUUUUUCUCUGCAUAUGACCUUGAUUUUUAAUAAUAAAAUAAAGGCUCUCGUGUAUGAAUAAACUUCAAAUGCUCCUACUUUACCCCCUCAAUGACAUUUCUGCAUUCCUUCUCUAGUCUUCAACAAAGGAGCACCUCUUUUCUCCUCAAAUAACACCCUCCCAUUUAGAUUUUAUCUGACCUUCAACUUAUUCCAUCAAAUUAUUCUCCUUUCUUUUAACUUCAUCUUUUCCCUUGAGUUGUUCUCAAUCCUCAGUAUAUAAAGAUGCUUCAGUUAGUCCGAAGUUAAAAAUGAAUUUACCAUUCUACUAGUAAUGGACAUUUGGAUUGUUUCCAUUUGGGAAUCUGCUAUGAACUUUCCGUUUAUGUGUUGUUCUGUAUACAUGUACAGAAUAAUCUCUAAGUCAGUGGUUCUCAAAUUUAGUUUUCAUCAGAAUCAUCUAGAGGACAUGUUAAAGCAGAUUUCUGGGCCCCAUUUCCCAAGUUUUUGAUUCAGUAGAUCUGAUUAGGGCCCAAGAAUUUGCAUUGCUAACAUGUUCCCAGGUGCUGCUGAUGCUGCUUUAUCCAGGGACCCUACUUUGAAAACCACUUCUAUACAUCCAGUAGUGGAACUGCUUGAACAUAGGGUAUGGAUAGCCUCAAUUUAGAUAAUACCAAACUGUUUUCCAAAGUGGCUGUACAAUUUACAGUACAUUUCCACCAAAAAUUAGAAUUCCUCACCAAUAUGUUGUAUUAUAAAACUUUUGAUAGUUUGCUAAUAAUGGUGGGCAUAUAGUGGUAUCUCAUUGUUCUGAUUAACAUAUCUCUGUUUACUAAUUAUGUUAAAAACACUUUUUAAUGUUUAUUAUCCAUUUGGAUUUCCUCUAUUGUGUAUUGCAUAAUCAAAUGAUUUAUUUUUCUAUUGGAUUUUCUACCUUUUUAAAAAACCAAAUUGUAGGGCUUCCCUGGUGGCGCAGUGGUUGAGAGUCCGCCUGCCGAUGCAGGGGACACGGGUUCAUGCCCCGGUCCGGGAAGAUCCCACAUGCCACGGAGCGGCUGGGCCCGUGAGCCAUGGCCGCUGAGCCUGCGCAUCCGGAGCCUGUGCUCCGUAACGGGAGAGGCCACAACAGUGAGAGGCCCGCAUACUGCCAAAAAAAAAAAAAAAAAAUUAAAUUGUAAAAGUUCUUUAUAUAUUUGGAAACAAAUUUUUUAUUGUUGUUAUUGAUUGGUUACAUAGGCUGCAAAUAUCUUCUCCCAGUCUAUGGCUUGUAUUUUUAUUUUUUAAUGGUAUAUUUUGUUAAGCAGAAGUGCUUUCUUUUAAUGUAAUUAAUGUACUAAUCUUUGCUUUAAAAAAAAUACAUGAUUGCUAAGUUUAAUUUAACUGCUCUACCCAAUCCUGCCUUAUGAAAAUAACAAAAUGUUCCUAUCAGAAUUACAUUGUGGGCUUCCCUGGUGGCACAGUGAUUAAGAAUCCACCUGCCAAUACAGGGGACAUGGGUUUGAGCCCUAGUCCAGGAAGAUCCCACAUCCCGCGGAGCAACAAAGCCCGUGUGCCACAACUACUGAAGCCCGUGCGCCUAGAGCCCAUGCUCUGUAACAAGAGAGGCCACUGCAAUGAGAAGCCCGCGCACUGCAACGAAGAGUAGCCCCCGCUGGCCGCAACUAGAGAAAGCCCACGCACAGCAACGAAGACCCAAUACAGCCAAAAAUAAAUAAAAUAAAUAAAUAAAAUUACAUUGCAAUGUUA
Orcinus orca (killer whale) is the source of this 7742-nucleotide long non-coding RNA. RefSeq lists it as uncharacterized. The record is from RefSeq and is a predicted model, not a curated record. The transcript is spliced from 3 exons. NCBI's taxonomy places the organism in Eukaryota, Metazoa, Chordata, Mammalia, Artiodactyla, Delphinidae.